CUCCCACAUUCCCCUUGGAAUCCAAGAACUGGUCUACUGUCACAACACUUUAGUACCCUCUUCUCCCAAGGAGGCAGCAGAAACUGGGGUAAUCACAACGGUCAACAGCAGCAAAGGCAGCACUUUCUGAUUUACUUGACUGCUAUGGAUGCCACCUCUCUCCACGCCUCAGUUUAAUAUCUGACCUGAAAGCCUCUGAAGUUCACUCCUUCGGCCCCACUCCCUUCCUGCUGCCUUUGGGCUCUCCUCAUGUGACUCUGCCUGUUGAAACUGUCUGCUAGCUGGCCCAGCAUCUCCAGGCAUGGCCUCACUCAUCCACCUCUCCCUUGCUGAAGGUCUCCUCAUGUAACACACGAUUCCUUUAGAUGGUCCUUCAUCACCAGCAAGAUGAAACCUAAAUUCAUUGGCAUGGUAGACAAAACUCUAGCCUUGCCUCCCAGAGGCCAGUCUCUGUCUCCGCCACUCCCCAGGUGGACUGCAUUGUGUUUCUGCUGCCAUAAACAUAAUUUAUUCUGACUGGAACAUCUUCUGUGCAUGUCUGCAGAGUGCACUUCACUCCCCCUGCAGUUCAAGCAUCCUUCCUCCACAAAGCCUUUUCUUUUGAUCACUGCAGGACCUGUAAAAGCUAUCCUGGGAUAGCCUGUAUUUACUGGACUGAAAUGAUCUGUUUGCCUAUCAAUUUCCCCAAAUGAUAUAUGGCAAGGAGUAGUUGAAUCUAAGAGCAGAUCUCAAAGCCUAUGUCCUUUCCAUUGCCUUGUACCCUGCUCCCCUCAAGAAUACCUAUUUUUUGGGGUUGGUGGGAGGAUCAUGUGAGAUAAUGCAUGGGCAGUGCCUGGCACACAGUAAGUGCUCAAUAAAUACUGUUAUAAAUGGGCGACCAG
Molecule: long non-coding RNA, 881 nt
Organism: Homo sapiens (human)
Lineage: Eukaryota; Metazoa; Chordata; Mammalia; Primates; Hominidae
Gene: LAMTOR5-AS1
Product: LAMTOR5 and SLC16A4 antisense RNA 1
Source: Ensembl